Molecule: ribosomal RNA, 252 nt
Filed under: uncultured bacterium
Lineage: Bacteria
Description: partial 16S ribosomal RNA
Rfam family: Bacterial small subunit ribosomal RNA
Source: RNAcentral
UACGUAGGGGGCAAGCGUUAUCCGGAAUUAUUGGGCGUAAAGGGUACGUAGGCGGUUUGAUAAGCGUGAGGUGAAAGGCAAUUGCUUAACGAUUGUAAGCCUUGCGAACUGUCAGACUUGAGUGCAGGAGAGGAAAGCGGAAUUCCUAGUGUAGCGGUGAAAUGCGUAGAUAUUAGGAGGAACACCAGUGGCGAAGGCGGAUUGCUGGACAGUAACUGACGCUGAGGCGCGAAAGCGUGGGGAGCAAACAGG